RNAcentral lists this ribosomal RNA (920 nucleotides) under Saccharomyces cerevisiae (brewer's yeast). Its description in RNAcentral is "SSU rRNA". It matches the Rfam family "Eukaryotic small subunit ribosomal RNA", at positions 96 to 1024 of the family's 1831-position model. Lineage: Eukaryota; Fungi; Ascomycota; Saccharomycetes; Saccharomycetales; Saccharomycetaceae. The record is from RNAcentral.
GCUCAUUAAAUCAGUUAUCGUUUAUUUGAUAGUUCCUUUACUACAUGGUAUAACAGGGGUAAUUCUAGAGCUAAUACAUGCUUAAAAUCUCGACCCUUUGGAAGAGAUGUAUUUAUUAGAUAAAAAAUCAAUGUCUUCGGACUCUUUGAUGAUUCAUAAUAACUUUUCGAAUCGCAUGGCCUUGUGCUGGCGAUGGUUCAUUCAAAUUUCUGCCCUAUCAACUUUCGAUGGUAGGAUAGUGGCCUACCAUGGUUUCAACGGGUAACGGGGAAUAAGGGUUCGAUUCCGGAGAGGGAGCCUGAGAAACGGCUACCACAUCCAAGGAAGGCAGCAGGCGCGCAAAUUACCCAAUCCUAAUACAGGGAGGUAGUGACAAUAAAUAACGAUACAGGGCCCAUUCGGGUCUUGUAAUUGGAAUGAGUACAAUGUAAAUACCUUAACGAGGAACAAUUGGAGGGCAAGUCUGGUGCCAGCAGCCGCGGUAAUUCCAGCUCCAAUAGCGUAUAUUAAAGUUGUUGCAGUUAAAAAGCUCGUAGUUGAACUUUGGGUCUGUUUGGCCGGUCCGAUUUUUUCGUGUACUGGAUUUCCAAGCGGACCUUUCCUUCUGGCUAACCUUGGGUCCUUGUGGCUCUUGGCGAACCAGGAUUUUUACUUUGAAAAAAUUAGAGUGUUCAAAGCAGGCGUAUUGCUCGAAUAUAUUAGCAUGGAAUAAUAGAAUAGGACGUUUGGUUCUAUUUUGUUGGUUUCUAGGACCAUCGUAAUGAUUAAUAGGGACGGUCGGGGGCAUCAGUAUUCAAUUGUCAGAGGUGAAAUUCUUGGAUUUAUUGAAGACUAACUACUGCGAAAGCAUUUGCCAAGGACGUUUUCAUUAAUCAAGAACGAAAGUUAGGGGAUCGAAGAUGAUUAGAUACCGUCGUAGU